AGUGGCGGACGGGUGAGUAACGCGUGAGAAUCUGCCUUGGGGUCGGGGACAACCACUGGAAACGGUGGCUAAUACCGGAUAAGCCGAUUGGUGAAAGAUUUAUUGCCCGAAGAGGAGCUCGCGUCUGAUUAGCUAGUUGGUGAGGUAAGAGCUCACCAAGGCAGCGAUCAGUAGCUGGUCUGAGAGGACGAUCAGCCACACUGGGACUGAGACACGGCCCAGACUCCUACGGGAGGCAGCAGUGGGGAAUUUUCCGCAAUGGGCGAAAGCCUGACGGAGCAAGACCGCGUGAGGGAGGAAGGCUCUUGGGUUGUAAACCUCUUUUCUCAGGGAAGAAGCUCUGACGGUACCUGAGGAAUCAGCCUCGGCUAACUCCGUGCCAGCAGCCGCGGUAAUACGGAGGAGGCAAGCGUUAUCCGGAAUUAUUGGGCGUAAAGCGUCCGCAGGUGGCGAUUCAAGUCUGCUGUCAAAGCACGGGGCUUAACUCCGUAAAGGCAGUGGAAACUGAAUAGCUAGAGUGCGUAGGGGUAGAGGGAAUUCCCGGUGUAGCGGUGAAAUGCGUAGAGAUCGGGAAGAACAUCGGUGGCGAAAGCGCUCUACUGGACGGCAACUGACACUCAGGGACGAAAGCUAGGGGAGCGAAUGGGAUUAGAUACCCC
RNAcentral lists this ribosomal RNA (659 nucleotides) under uncultured bacterium. RNAcentral's name for it is "bacterial SSU rRNA". It matches the Rfam family "Bacterial small subunit ribosomal RNA", at positions 94 to 788 of the family's 1533-position model. The record is from RNAcentral.